RNAcentral lists this ribosomal RNA (1855 nucleotides) under Pyropia haitanensis. Its description in RNAcentral is "bacterial LSU rRNA". It matches the Rfam family "Bacterial large subunit ribosomal RNA", at positions 876 to 2925 of the family's 2925-position model. Lineage: Eukaryota; Rhodophyta; Bangiophyceae; Bangiales; Bangiaceae. The record is from RNAcentral.
AGUACGUUGCUUUUCAAAAAUGUGGGUAGAGCUACUUAUUAAACUUAGAUUUUGCUAAGUUUUAUUAAACUCCAAAUUAUAUUUUUAUUUAGCAGCAGACAGUCAUUAGGCGAUAAGGUUCAAUGUCAAAAGGGAAACAACCCUAAUCGAUGGUUAAGAUCUUAAAAUUAUGAAUUAGUGAAAAAAUGAAAAGUAAUUCGAAUAAACAGAGUAGGCUUAGAAGCAGCCAUCUAUUGGAGAAAGCGUUUUAGCUCAUUAUUUUUACUUAUUUUACUCAUUUAAAAUGUAAGGAGACUUAAAUUCAUAUAUCGAAGCUUCGAAUUAAGUUUAAUUUUUCUUAAUGGUAGCGGAACGUCCUGUAGUCUUUUCUGUUAAUGUUAAAUUGCAUAUUAAAAAUCAGGAGUGCUAAUGCUGACAUGAGUAGCGUCAACCAUGUUGAAAAUAAAUCAUGGUCGUCUAUUGCUCAAGGGUUUCCAGUAAAUUUUAAGUAACUGGGUUUAGUCGGCCCUUAAAAAAAAAGUGAAAACUGUACUUGAUAGGAAAAUUAUUCCGCAUGUUUGCAAAAUAUUUUUGUGUAAAAAAGUACUUUUAAAAGUUUUGCUUAAUAAACUAGCAACUUAAAAAAAGUAUUUUUCAGGAAAAUUUGCAUGAAGUUUGACCGUACUUAGAACCGACACAGGUGAGCUUAUUGAGAAGAUAAAGACGAAUGAGAUAAUUAUACUUAAGGAACUCGGCAAAUUUGCUCCGUACGUUCGCAACAAGGAGUACCUUAAAGGAUUCAAAAAUUAGGGGUAGCGACUGUUUAACAAAAACUCAAAACUUUGCAAAUUCGAAAGAAGACGUAUAAGGUUUGACGCCUGCCCAGUGCUUGAAAGCGAAAAAUACACGUUAACGCUUGUAUCAUAAACUCAAGUAAACGGCGGUCUUAACUAUAAGGAUCCUCAGGUAGCGAAAUUCCUUGGCGGGUAAAUUCCGUCCUGCAUGAAUGGCGUCACGACUACCCCACUGUCUCUAGUAUAAACUCAGCGAAAUUACAUUGUCUGUGAAAAUGCAGACAUCCUACAACAAGACGGAAAGACCCUAUGAUUCUUAACUAUAAUUUUACGUCGCAAUAAUUUUGUGUACAGUACAGUAAAAGUAGGAGUAUACUUAUACAAUUUUGAAAAACUACUCUGUACAUAAGAAAUUGCUUACUGAAGAGAAAAUAUGUAAAAGUGGUAGUUUACUUGGGACGAGGACCUCCUAAACUGUAACGGAGGUGCACAAAAGUAAAUUUUAAUUAGUUUUUUGUAUUAAUAAAAUAUGUAAUGGUAAAAAUUUGCUUGACGGUAAGAGUUACAACUCAAACCGGGACGAAAGUCGGUCAUAAUGAUCCGGCAGUAAUGUAUGGAAAUACUGUCGCUUAUCGGAAAAAAGAAACUCUAGGGAUAACAGAUUUAUCAUGGCUGAGAGUUCUUAUCGACGCCAUGGUUUGAUACCUCGAUGUCGGCUCAUCUUUUCCUGGAGCUGUAACAGGUUCCAAGGGUAUGGUUGUUCGCCAAAUAAUAAGAUACGUGAGCUGGGUUCAGAACGUCGUGAGACAGUUCGGUCCCUAUCUGUUGUGGGUAAGAAAAAACUAGAUUUAUCUUUAGUACGAGAGGAUUAAGAUAUAUUAACCAAUAGUGUAUCGGUUGUAUUGUUUCUUGCAUUGCCGAGUAGCCACGUUAACAUUAUAUAAGUGCUGACAGCUUAAAAGCACAAAAAUAAUCUUUAUUUUUUCAAGAACUUUCUAGAAGAUUACUAGAUAGAUCGGUUUAUUAUUUAAUACUUGUAAAAGUAAGUAAAUAAAUACGAAAAGUUCAUUAUAAUUUGUGUU